AUGCUCACUUUGGCAGCAUAUAUACUAAAAUUGGAAUAAUACAGAGAGAUUAGCAUGGCCCCUGAGCAAGGAUGACAUAAAUUUAUGAAGCAUUCCAUAUUUUU
This 104-nucleotide small nuclear RNA is filed under the name Pteropus vampyrus (large flying fox). Lineage: Eukaryota; Metazoa; Chordata; Mammalia; Chiroptera; Pteropodidae. The record is from RNAcentral.